Molecule: ribosomal RNA, 465 nt
Filed under: uncultured bacterium
Lineage: Bacteria
Description: partial 16S ribosomal RNA
Rfam family: Bacterial small subunit ribosomal RNA (bases 20-329)
Source: RNAcentral
GACGAACGCUGGCGGCGUGCUUAACACAUGCAAGUCGAACGGAAAGGCCCCUUUGGGGGUACUCGAGUGGCGAACGGGUGCGUAACACGUGAGUAACCUGCCCUUGACUUCGGGAUAACUUCAGGAAACUGGGGCUAAUACCGGAUAGGAAUCCUUGCUUCAUGGUGGGGGUUGGAAAGCUUCGGCGGUUUUGGAUGGACUCGCGGGUGAUCAGCUUGUUGGUGGGGUAGUGGCUUACCAAGGCUUUGACGGGUAGCCGGCCUGAGAGGGCGACCGGCCAAAGGGGGGAGGGAAAGCCGCCCGAGCUCAGGAGGGGGGGAGGCGGGGGGAAAGUGGACAAAGGGGGGGAAGGCGGGAGCAAGAACCGCCGGGGGGGGGGGGGGGGCUGUGGGUUUGAAAACCUGUUGCGCGGGGGAGGAAGGGGGGGGGACGGUAAUGGAAAAAGAAGCACCGGCUAACUACGUG